UUAUCUCUGUAGAGUCUGCAUAUCAAUAAGCGGAGGAAAAGAAACUAACAAGGAUUCCCCUAGUAACGGCGAGUGAAGCGGGAAGAGCUCAAAUUUGAAAUCUUCAAGGUUUGACCUUGACGAAUUGUAGCUUUAAAAGAAGUGUUUUCGGUUAGAGGAGUAGUAAAAGUUCUUUGGGAAUAGGACAUCAUAGAGGGUGAGAAUCCCGUAUUUGACUAUUCUUUCUAGCUUUGUGAUACACUUUCAAAGAGUCGGAUUGUUUGGGGAAUGCAGUCCAAAAUGGGUGGUAAAUUUCAUCUAAAGCUAAAUAUUGGCGAGAGACCGAUAGCGAACAAGUACCGUGAGGGAAAGAUGAAAAGAACUUUGAAAAGAGAGUUAAACAGUACGUGAAAUUGUCAAAAGGGAAGCGUUUGACACCAGUGUUGUUUUUCCGAAAAUCAAUUAAAAAUUGAUUCAUGCCAGGUUGUAUUGACCUUAUCAGCUUGCAAUUUGGUUUUGGGUCUCUUUUUGAUGCACUUUUCGGUUAACAAGUCAACAUCAAUUUCCUUUGCUGUAAAAAGGUAAGAGGAAGGUGGCUUCAAUUUCGGUUGAAGUGUUUAUAGCCUUUUAUCUCUGCAGUCGGGGAGAUUGAGGUCUGCAGCGUAGAUCCUUCGGGGCUAGAUACAUUUAUGCUAAGUUAUAGCUUUUCAUAGACAACUUGUUGACUAUGUUUAGUCAUGUAGCUUACUCGUAAGUGCUAUUUUACCUACGCUUAGGAUGUUGAAGACUCUACAGAGAUA
This 779-nucleotide ribosomal RNA is filed under the name uncultured Neocallimastigales. Its description in RNAcentral is "partial large subunit ribosomal RNA". It matches the Rfam family "Eukaryotic large subunit ribosomal RNA", at positions 24 to 642 of the family's 3401-position model. Lineage: Eukaryota; Fungi; Neocallimastigomycota; Neocallimastigomycetes; Neocallimastigales. The record is from RNAcentral.